UUUCCGGUAUAAAUUUGUAUGAAACGCAGAGCACCCGGCUGUUAACCGGGUUGUUGUAGGUUCGAGCCCUACUCGGGGAG
This 80-nucleotide transfer RNA is filed under the name Candidatus Faecimorpha stercoravium. RNAcentral's name for it is "tRNA-OTHER". The record is from RNAcentral. Lineage: Bacteria; Bacillati; Bacillota; Clostridia; Eubacteriales.